RNAcentral lists this transfer RNA (73 nucleotides) under Ipomoea nil (Japanese morning glory). It matches the Rfam family "tRNA". From Rfam's summary of the family: Transfer RNA (tRNA) molecules are approximately 80 nucleotides in length. Their secondary structure includes four short double-helical elements and three loops (D, anti-codon, and T loops). Lineage: Eukaryota; Viridiplantae; Streptophyta; Magnoliopsida; Solanales; Convolvulaceae. The record is from Rfam by way of RNAcentral.
UUCGUUAUAGACUAGUAGGUUAGAAUACUUUGCUUUUACCAGAGAGACCCGGGUUCAAUUCCUGGCAGCGGAA